GACAGUUCGGUCCCUAUCUGCCGUGGGCGUAGGAGAAUUGGUUGGGGCUGCUCCUAGUACGAGAGGACCGGAGUGGACGCACCACUGGUGUUCUGGUUGUGUCGCCAGACGCAUUGCCGGGUAGCUAAGUGCGGAAGAGAUAAGUGCUGAAAGCAUCUAAGCACGAAACUUGCCAAGAGAUGAGUUCUCCCAAUCUAAGAGAUAGUAAGGGUUGUUGUAGA
RNAcentral lists this ribosomal RNA (221 nucleotides) under Haemophilus influenzae. RNAcentral's name for it is "partial 23S ribosomal RNA". It matches the Rfam family "Bacterial large subunit ribosomal RNA", at positions 2625 to 2844 of the family's 2925-position model. Lineage: Bacteria; Pseudomonadati; Pseudomonadota; Gammaproteobacteria; Pasteurellales; Pasteurellaceae. The record is from RNAcentral.